GGAGUUGUGGCUCAGCGGUCAAGCACUCGCCUAGCAGGUGAGGGGCCCUGGGUUCCAUCCUCAGCAUCACAU
This 72-nucleotide transfer RNA is filed under the name Marmota monax (woodchuck). RNAcentral describes it as "tRNA.Ala". The record is from RNAcentral. Lineage: Eukaryota; Metazoa; Chordata; Mammalia; Rodentia; Sciuridae.